GCCAUGUGUUAUGCUUGUGGGUGGUCUUAAGAUCUUAAAGAAAAGCUUUGCUCUGUGAAGUCAUGCAGCACUGUAUGUAAUUAAGAGGCUUCCCCCCCCCCCCCCUUCCCCUCCAAACUCCUCUAUCUCUCCUGAUGUUGUUGUUGCGAAUGAUCUACACUUUGUGGAUGAGCUCCCUUUCAGUGCAUGUUAACCUGGGAAGGCUGUUUCUAGUACCUGAGCUUGAUCACAGAGAGUUCUCAGCUAUUUCUCUGCACAGAACUGCUGUGCCUCAGCCGUGACUCCACACCCGUCUCUGCAGCAUCUUUCAGAGCAGCCCGAUGGUUGUCUUCAUCUUCCUUCAAAAAAUCUUCUGAGACUUCACUUCAAAGACUCACGUACGUGGCAGAUUCAAUGACAGGUUCUCUGCUUUCAUGCCACAGCUUCUGAUUUUGCUCAGCAAUUCCCUAGCUUCUACAAGGCCAGCAGUGAGUCCCAUCAGUGGUACAGCUGUAGGUGCCACCAGCCCUGGUGACAAUGCCUCCACAAGACAACAGCUGCCAGCACAAGGGGCUGUAAACUCCUCCAAGAGCAUUUGAUUGCCAUCCUUCUGGCACUCACAAUUAUGGCCCAAAAAGGCAUUUAUGCCUCACUGGUCAAAGUAUAUAGUUUUCUCUUUGCUAUUCACCACUGCAGAUGGCAUGAAAAAGAUACCUUGGGUUGUUGCUUGCGAAGAUCAAGAAAAGCAAUUGCCAAAGGUCAGCAGCAUAUCACUUCUGGUGGGACUUCUGCAAGAAGAUGUGGCCGCAGAGAAAGGAAAAGAAAUAAAUGGAGAAUUUUCACAGAGGAGGCAUAGAUGGAGUCACACAUACAUGAAUACAUAUGUGCUAAUGCAGAAAAAGAUGGGCUGUAGAGUAACCUCUUCUCUUUCACCCAGGUAAAGCAAAACAACAGCGGCAAAUGUUGUGCGGAGCAUUCAUUUUCUGUCCAAAUGGUUUCGAUUCAGCAUUAUUUCAUCAAAAACCUGCAGCGUUCCUGAUGCGUAACCUGGGAAGCCCUUUGAAGACAAGACGUUUGGCCACUAGCAAGUAUCUCUCCUUUGCUGCUCUUUCAGAAAAAGGCAUCAAGGUGUGGAGCAAUCUUUGUCAGUGAUGGUGUGUACAGUGUGUGACUGCACAGGAACCGACUCCUCAGGCUUCCUGAAGGAACUGGAAUUAAAUUAGACUCUUCUCAGCCGGACCAGUUCUUUCACCCAGUUCAAGAUACAACUAUGGGCACAUCACAGAAAAAGUUGUAUGGAUGUGGAGACAAACAGCAGAAGUCAGGAUGCCUCACAUUGGCUGUCACGGCUGACAAAAUCUGGAAGAAAAAGGAUCGGAGGAAGCAGUGGAAGGGACAGGGCACAAGAAAGAAAAGGAAAGAAACGCGGACGCUCGCACACAACUUCUUACAAUGGCUCCAGCAUGCCCUUCCAUUGGCAGGAAUCCUUUUGAUCAAAUCCUUGCCCUGGGCUGGAAGUGUUUUAAUGAGCAUACAGACAUCAUCUUUUUUUCCUAGGUCUAUUUUGUGUUCUUAAGGAUAGAUAAGUAAAGCGUGCACUUAAAUGAUCCUGUGAGUGCUUCUUAACUGUGCUCUAGAGGAAAGGCGUAGUGCUUGAAUGUGGAGGCUGAACAGCGCCAGCCUGAAGGACAAGGAAAAUAGCAGAGGAGGAAACUUGAGCUGAACUGAACUUGUUUUCUUUAACAUCUUAUUUUCUUUUGGAGAAGGAAUAAGCAGCAUGAAACACCUAGACAUCUGUUGGAUGAGGGGUGUUUUAUGGAGACUCCCAUGUCUUGCUGCUUUUCCCCAUAGAAUAUUCUGAAUUGAUAGGGACCCACAAGUAUCGUAGACUCAUAGAAUGGUUGAGUUGGAAGGGACCUUAAUGAUCAGUGAGCUCCAACUACCCUGCUGCAGGCUGGGUGCUCCCCACCAGCUCAGGCUGCCUAGAGCCCCAUUCGUGGCCUUGGGCACCUCCAGGGAUGGAGCACCCCCACUCUCUGGGCAGCAGAUGUAAGAAUUCUCAGAGGUGCAGUGGGAUUUCUGUCUUUGCAUGCUGGUAGGUGCCAGCCUGUGAGAGGCCCAGGGCUGAAGGAUGUAGAAGCACUGCCCACCAGUCCCUGCUCUCUCCACCAAAUGUGGGGCAGGUGUAGGACCCCAAAGGAGCUAUCCUUUAGUAGCAGCCCAAAUGUUGCUGAUUUGUGGAAAUGAGCCUGGGCUGCCAACCUGGCUCUUCUAGGAGCCCUGAAAGACUUUAAAUAUUAAAAAAUAAAGGUUGUACUUGAUAAAAGGCAAAUGUUUAGUUUGACACAUCUCAUUAUUCUAAGGAAUUUGCAGGAAAAGACAAACUUUGUUAGCCUGCCACAAAGUGCUAACAGUUUCUGGAAGUCAAUAAAGUGACCUGCUUGCCUUGGAAGGAAACAGUUAGCAGACUUCCAAUUUCCCAGCUAAGUUAUGAAGACGGGAUGCAGGAUGACGGAAGCCAAGAUGUCAAUGCAGAAGACACAGAGCCUUCCCCAGACCAGGAUGGCUAGAGUUGAAAGAACAUCAUGCCCUGACAGCAGCUGCCAAAAUCAAACCCUUUUUCAAUGUUUUUUUGAUGUGAAUCACAGGAGGUUUCACUACUGGGAUUUGCAUCCAAACAGGAAACCUGCAGAUUUCUUCAAAUCCUGGCGACAAAGGUACUGGUAGUGCCCUGAGCUGAUUGUUGCAGUGGUGUUAAUGAUGCUCUUUCAGUAGCUGAGUGCUGAUACUCCAUGACUUUGGCUCAGACAACAGAGAUAGCUGCCAUGAAUUGCCUUCUGGUAGUGCCCGUUCCUCUCAGUUGAUUACAAGAGGAUCCCCAAAUGCUAGAACAGGUCUUGAGCUGCCUGGAGAACAUGCUGUGGCACCCAACAUGGCCACACAGGAGGUCUCUGCCUGCCUCUGCUGUCCCUGAUGCCGAAGGAGGACAGGCUGUGCCGGACAAUUAUGUGAUCGUGACAAAGCCAAGUGACUCCCAGGGAUCAUCCACAAUGAUGAUGAGAGCCGGUGGGGAACACCAUGGAGGAGAAUGAAACAAUUACGAGCGUCUUUUAAAGGAAACUGUGAGAGAGAGGACUCCAGACGCUGCAGUGUGACAGCUAAACCAAGGAGCAUCGGAUGCAAUGGAAUUGCUCUACAAGCAACCUUGCCAAAGGCCCUUUUGCUGCACAAAGCUGGCUCUAUCUUUGUAUAUUGAGGGAACUAAAUCAAUGUUAAAUGCUUGGCUCUUUUCACAGGACAAUGACCAGGACCUAAGCUGCGUCCUUCCUAUUUGAUUGACACUUGAAACGUUGAGUUGGAAUCAGCCAGAGGCACUGCUACAAGCUUGAAGCCUCUGCUGGGGAUAACAACUGGUGACAUCUGCAGAAAGGCCGACAAAAGGCAGUUGAAAGCCGUGUUUGUUGCUUUCCCCUCUCAGAUCUCCUCUCUUUCAUGGAGCUCCUUACUUGCUUUAAUAUUAUGAUUCAGCACCUGGCUCUUUUGAACCUUGCUUUAAACUUCAAAAGGCGAGGUGGUAUUAACAAACAUGAAACGAAAAAGUGGCAGUAGUUUGAUUUACUGUUGUCGUCUUAUCAAGGGGGUUUUUUGUCACCAGCUGCCACUUUCUGUCAUCUUUGGAACCAUUAUCAUUUCUCUAAAAUCUAAAAGACUCCACUUAAUAACAGCUUUGAAUACAGGCAGGAUCAGUAACGUAUACAGUUCUGGGAUGACAGGGCCGUCAAAUGAAAAGAAAGAUGUUGCCAAAAAAAAAAAAAAAAUCCUUAAAGAAAAAAAAGCAAUAAAACAAAUAAAAGCCAUAGUACUUCUAAGUGACCUUGAUUUCAGAAUUAAACAAAUCAAGCACAAUUCCAUUGUUCUUUCUGGAUUAAUUCUGCACUUUCUUUGCAGUGUUUCUUUUUUGUUCUCAGGACUAAGGGAAAACAAAGCCAAGGCUUUCAGAAAACUGCUCGGCACACAACAAGCACUUGGUAUCACAUGAGUGCUGUAAGCUUCUCACUGUAAAACUGCCAGCGAUAAUUACUGGUCUCGUUUCCCCACCAUCCCAGCACAGCAACUCACAUUCAGGCUGAGCUGCCUUGCUAGUCAAAAAAACGGUCAACUCCCCUCUUAUAGUGCUGCUCCAUGCUUUCCUGCAGACCUUCCCAACAUGGUUGUGUUGGUCUUUGGGUGCCAAGGCAGAACCAAGUGCCUGGUCAAGUUUGCCCAUUGCAGCUGCUCACAUUAAGCCACAGGCAGUCAAAUAAACACAAUUUUCUAAAGUGCAAACUUACUGCACUUUCACACUUGUCGCCUUGCCAUUCUUUAUGGGAAACUCACUCUGAUCCCUUUGUUUUAUAAUGGUAUGCACAAUUAACUCAUCUGAAGGUAGAAAUUUCUCCCACUGCCUUCUAAACUCAUGGAUAAAUGAUGGACAAGCCAUCACAAGCAGUGACUUUUAAUUUGCACAAAUUGGAACCUGCACUUCUGUGCAUCUUAAUAGUUACUUCCACUUGUGCAAAAAUAGUGAAACCAACUGCAAAAACCAAAGGAUCCCCUCCACUCUCCCCAUUGAUGUGUCCUCCCUCCCCUCAGUUAUGUGUAAAUCCAGGCAAUGGGAUCCAACACGUGGUCUCCCAUUGGCCUCUUCCAGACCUGUUCAACCACAGGAAUCUGGGGGAGAUUUAUGCCAGAACAUCUUCCUAAAACAGUGAUGGAAACAACAAAAUGAAAAUAUUCAUAGAAGUGAAAGUGCUGAUGUCUUGACCAGUGAAAACACAGGAUUGCAAGACUCCAAAGUUGGUUGAUUUUUUAUGGACUGGGAUGCGACAAAACUCAUGAAAUUGAGAUGGAGAUUGCUAAAAAUACCUAUUAUCCUCUGACAGAAGCACUCACUGUAUAACGAUAAUGAGGUUUUUUCACAGAGCAUGUCCAGAUUUGAAAGUUUAGUCAUUUUAACAAGUGUUAAUUACUGCAUGCUAACCAGCAGAAGUGUGUGGGGGAGAUGUUUUAUAUUUAUUUGUUCCAGACUUGGAACAUAUUAGAAAGCAGGCUCCCUUCCAGGUUACUGUGGUAUGAAUGAAUACGUUACCCAACUACAAAUGAAAAAUACUGCAAGAAGAAAUAAGGACUUUUCCCCAGCAUAUUUCUUUGAAGAGAAGACCGAGAAUAUGUUUAGUCUAUUACAUCAAGUGGAAAUCUUAGCCUGACCCUACUAAAAGUGCGUGUAGCACACAGAUACCAGAGCAGUGUGUCUGUGGGAGGUACUUUUAGGUUUAUCCAUGAAAAAAUGAGAUAUUCUGAAAGAAAGAACAUACAUGGGAAAUUAUCGGUGCAGUUGGAUCAGUCUCCCUGCAUGCUUUAGUAUGAUGCUGGAGAAGAGGAG
RNAcentral lists this long non-coding RNA (5401 nucleotides) under Gallus gallus (chicken). Its description in RNAcentral is "lncRNA (ENSGALG00010021380.1)". Lineage: Eukaryota; Metazoa; Chordata; Aves; Galliformes; Phasianidae. The record is from RNAcentral.